AAGGGAGACCUAAUUCCGGUAGGAGACGAAAAAAAAGUAGUCCCAACCAAGAAUCAAUCCCAAAAGGUCGGAACGAGGUAUGAGGCUUUCAAACUAGGUUCUGGGUUCAUAAAAGACCUGGAUCAGGAACAAGGGCUAUUAGCUCAGGUGGUUAGAGCGCACCCCUGAUAAGGGUGAGGUCCCUGGUUCGAGUCCAGGAUGGCCCACCUGCACAGGUGGCAAAAACAAGAGAAGCUCCGAAUCAGCACCUUAUCUUAUAUACAUAUAUAAGAGAGAAUGCUGGCUCUGAGUACAGAGUCCAGAGGAACCUUGAAAACUGCAUAGAGCUAGGUGAAAAAGCCAAAAAAGAAGACCGCAA
RNAcentral lists this transfer RNA (358 nucleotides) under uncultured Microcystis sp. Its description in RNAcentral is "partial 16S-23S ribosomal RNA intergenic spacer". The stretch from base 133 to 206 matches the Rfam family "tRNA". Lineage: Bacteria; Bacillati; Cyanobacteriota; Cyanophyceae; Chroococcales; Microcystaceae. The record is from RNAcentral.